RNAcentral lists this ribosomal RNA (274 nucleotides) under uncultured bacterium. RNAcentral describes it as "partial 16S ribosomal RNA". It matches the Rfam family "Bacterial small subunit ribosomal RNA", at positions 523 to 796 of the family's 1533-position model. The record is from RNAcentral.
ACACGGAGGGCGCAAGCGUUGCUCGGAAUCACUGGGCGUAAGGCGGGUGUAGGCGGUCUAGCAAGUCAGAUGUGAAAGCCCACGGCUCAACCGUGGAAGUGCAUCUGAAACUGCUAGACUUGAGUGCCGGAGAGGGAAGUGGAAUUCCUGGUGUAGGGGUGAAAUCCGUAGAUAUCAGGAGGAACACCGGUGGCGAAGGCGACUUCCUGGACGGCCACUGACGCUGAGACCCGAAAGCGUGGGGAGCAAACAGGAUUAGAAACCCUAGUAGUCC